This 292-nucleotide ribosomal RNA is filed under the name uncultured bacterium. Its description in RNAcentral is "partial 16S ribosomal RNA". The record is from RNAcentral.
GGACUACAGGGGUAUCUAAUCCUGUUUGCUCCCCACGCUUUCGCACCUCAGUGUCAGUAUCGGACCAGUGAGCCGCCUUCGCCACCGGUGUUCUUCCAAAUAUCUACGAAUUUCACCUCUACACUUGGAAUUCCACUCACCUCUUCCGAACUCAAGACAGCCAGUAUGAAAGGCAGUUCCGAGGUUGAGCCUCGGGAUUUCACCCCUCACUUAACUAUCCACCUACGUGCGCUUUACGCCCAGUAAAUCCGAACAACGCUAGCCCCCUUCGUAUUACCGCGGCUGCUGGCAC